Molecule: ribosomal RNA, 253 nt
Filed under: uncultured bacterium
Lineage: Bacteria
Description: partial 16S ribosomal RNA
Rfam family: Bacterial small subunit ribosomal RNA
Source: RNAcentral
UACGUAGGGGGCAAGCGUUGUCCGGAAUCAUUGGGCGUAAAGCGCGUGUAGGCGGUUCAGUAAGUCUGCUGUGAAAGUCCAGGGCUCAACCCUGGGAUGCCGGUGGAUACUGCUGGGCUAGAGUACGGAAGAGGCGAGUGGAAUUCCCGGUGUAGCGGUGAAAUGCGCAGAUAUCAGGAGGAACACCGGUGGCGAAGGCGGGUCUCUGGGCAACAACUGACGCUGAGGAGCGAAAGCGUGGGGAGCGAACAGG